GGAGGAAAAGAAACUAACAAGGAUUCCCCUAGUAACGGCGAGUGAACCGGGAAGAGCUCAAAUUUGAAAUCUGGCGUGCUCAGUGCGUCCGAGUUGUAAUCUAUAGAGUCGUUUUCCGUGCCGGACUGUGUCCAAGUCCCUUGGAACAGGGUAUCAAAGAGGGUGAUAAUCCCGUACUUGACACAAUGACCGGUGCUCUGUGAUACGUCUUCUACGAGUCGAGUUGUUUGGGAAUGCAGCUCAAAAUGGGUGGUGAGUUCCAUCUAAAGCUAAAUAUUGGCGAGAGACCGAUAGCGAACAAGUACCGUGAGGGAAAGAUGAAAAGCACUUUGGAAAGAGAGUUAAACAGUACGUGAAAUUGUUAAAAGGGAAACGAUUGAAGUCAGUCGUGACUGAGAGGCUCAGCCGGUUCUGCCGGUGUAUUCCCCUCAGUCGGGUCAACAUCAGUUUUGUUCGGUGGAUAAGGGCAGUUGGAAGGUGGCACCCUCGGGUGUGUUAUAGCCACCUGUCGCAUACAUCGGAUGAGACUGAGGAAUGCAGCUCGCCUUUAUGGCCGGGGUUCGCCCACGUUCGAGCUU
RNAcentral lists this ribosomal RNA (578 nucleotides) under Papiliotrema flavescens. RNAcentral's name for it is "eukaryotic LSU rRNA". It matches the Rfam family "Eukaryotic large subunit ribosomal RNA", at positions 52 to 608 of the family's 3401-position model. Lineage: Eukaryota; Fungi; Basidiomycota; Tremellomycetes; Tremellales; Rhynchogastremaceae. The record is from RNAcentral.